GUAGGUGAACCUGCGGAAGGAUCAUUAACACGUAUCCAACGUUAAACCCCCCCGUGAACGUACAAUCUGUUGCUUCUCCGGUAACGCGAAACAAUGGUUGCAAUCCCUGGUAAAUCAUCGCCGAACAGUUUUGAUUCAGGGACUUCAAGCACGUUACUGUCCUGAUAAAAGAGGAGUCCCCAGCGCAAGCUUUUCUUGACCUGGUGGGUGGGUUCGACUAUCCCAAGGUAUGGCGUGCUUUCGAUGUUGC
Molecule: unclassified non-coding RNA, 250 nt
Filed under: plant metagenome
Description: partial contains small subunit ribosomal RNA, internal transcribed spacer 1, and 5.8S ribosomal RNA
Source: RNAcentral